Molecule: transfer RNA, 69 nt
Filed under: Sciurus aestuans (Guianan squirrel)
Lineage: Eukaryota; Metazoa; Chordata; Mammalia; Rodentia; Sciuridae
Description: Guerlinguetus aestuans (Guianan squirrel) tRNA-Thr
Source: RNAcentral
GCCCUGGUAGUAUAACUCAUUACUUUGGUCUUGUAAACCAAAAAUGAAGCCCGCAUGCUUCCCAGGACA